GCCAUUUGGUACAGGAUUGAAAAUAUAAGUGGACGCCAGGCGCUACAGCAGGCUGCAGUCUGUUAGACUUGGUCUGGCCGUGUAGUGCGCAGGAAACGAGGGGAGUGAAUGAGUACGUGCAUGUGACUAUGAUGGCUACUUUCGGGCAGCCAUGUUCGAAACACUAGGAAAGACAUAACGGGGAAAUUAUACGAGAUGAAGGAACGGCUCUGGUCUAGGUGUUAUGUAUAAAUGACGCGGUCGACUUUUAAGCCUGGUGUCUUAGUUGUAUAUUCCAAGGAACACCCUUGUCAGCAGUCACACACAGUGAUUCCUCAUCAGGACCAAGACAAAUUUGACAGUCUAUGGGGAAAUUAAUGAUGAAACUUUCUUUAAAGGGAAUUAUUUUCAUGGGAUCAGGUUGAAGCUCAUGACCUGGAAAAACAGCAAUCUAGGAGUGCUGUGUCCUGUUAACCUGUUCGGAGAGACAUGAUUUGGUAUUACCACUUCUACAGCCUAUUUGUACACAAUGGAAUCAAAGAGCUGAAGUUGAUGCUGAAGUUGGUCCUGAUCAACCAUUCUCGAGUCAAAGAACUGACGUACAUGCUUUCUGCAAUAAAGUGUCGGACGGGCGUCGGUCCAGAGUAGUUCUCGACCAGCAACUCACAACACAACAUGCAGUCACAAUGAGCCUGCGUUGUAUCUUCGCGAAAUACUUGCUGAUGUCUGAAUGUCCGAAUGAAGCAUACGGACCGUAAAUUCCAAAAUGUGACCACCUUGUACAGAUGAAUGGAGUAUGUCUGCAUGUUCCAUGGUGUGUUGCGGCCUACCAACUCGUUCCCAAUUUAUGAAUCACGUAUUAGCCGUCUGCUUGGAGAUGCUUAGCCCGGCUCCAUGGUCCCACCUGCCGGAUGAUAGCUAGAUGCAAGGCAGUUCGUUCAGAGAUCGCCAGUCCAGCAUUUUGUUCCCGCGUCCCGGACCCAAGAAGUAUGGGAGCGUGAACCGAUGGGAGUUAAAAUCCCUCGACAGAAACAAACACAAUUUACAGUCCACGUAAGCGUAGCAGUAAGAUCUGAUGGCAAUAGCGAUUGCUACUGAAAUGAUCACUUUGGUGUGAAUUUGUCCAUCGACCCUUCGGGCUUCAUGUAUGUCGGGCUAAGGUAUUGAUGAAAGAAAGCCCAGUAAAAAAAAUGAAGACUUUAACAUGAUUUUAAUUUGUUUUCAUAUCUAACACUGUGAAGUGUACAGAUUUCAAAGUAUUUGAUUCAUCGAUUCUGUUACAUUUCAACUUGUUUUCUGAAUUUCUAUUUGAAACACUGCAGCGAUUUAUCAAAUUGUAGGUAAAACGUAAGAUUUGUCAUGAUUAGUGUCUUUUGAAAAUCCUAGUAUAGUUUGAAGUCGAUAGAAAUGGAUAGUUUGACGAACUCAGAACAGGAUUUUCCCACUUAACUUCAAAAAAUGUAAACUCUACAAUGAAACUUCGCUCGCGGGAAAAUGGGACUAGUUUUUAACUACCCUCAUAUGUCAGAUGGAUAAUCAGACACUUACAAUUACUUUAGUGACGCUUAAGUUCAGGGCAUCGGCCGGUCACCUGGGAAGGCUAGUAUCGGGAAAAGACACUCGUCUGCAGACGUCUUCUCUCGGGUUAUUACCACUUUAGCGGUGGAUCAAUAAAGCCCCUGGAUCACUUCCCUCGGUAGCUCCUAUACUGACGGUGACAUAGUUUGACUUUCGACAUGACUUGAUGGUCGUAUUGAUAUGACCAUGUGCUUUAGUGAAUGAUGUCUUCGUGUGUUGUCACUCUACUUGCUUUUAUUCUGUCUCAACUGCAAGUGUACUUAAGGAUGGGACGUCCAAAAGUCGAGGAUUUCUUUUUGAUCUUCAUAGACUGCUUGAGUUGUGGCUAAAUAUGGGGCUUUUUAAAUGUUUCUGCAGGAGGGGAAGUGAAAUACUAAAAACGUCUGUGUCACAUUUCAAAAAAGGCCAAAAAGCCUUUCAGUUUGUGUGUGUGUGUGUGGGGGGGGCACAUGGCCCCGUUUGCCAAUCUAAUAGUGUACGUAUCAGCAACAAUGUACAAAUAAAUUUACACGUCCCUGAGGCACUUUUAAUACAAAAAUGUACACAUAGGCCUAUACUUGGAUGGGGAAGAUGACCUGUUUGUAGUGUCUAUACAAGCAGUGCGGAACAGAAUUACGAAAACAUUAUUUUUAAUGUAACCCAUUUUUUACAAACACAGUUAGUAAAAUUAUUGUGUGCCCCACUCUCUACUUAAUGAUGAAAGUGCUAUUGUCUUGAUGGGCGAAACUCCAUUACGUAAAUCCAACGUAUCGUCAUCGGAUGUUGAUAAAUUAACACGACCACCGUAAUUUUGAUUUGUCAAGUCGUGAGAAUAAAAAUCAAAUGCCGAGUCUAUAGUUAUGUUAACAUACAUUAUGCAAAAAUGUUGCCUGUUCCAU
This 2435-nucleotide long non-coding RNA is filed under the name Acanthaster planci (crown-of-thorns starfish). RNAcentral's name for it is "uncharacterized LOC110985309". Lineage: Eukaryota; Metazoa; Echinodermata; Asteroidea; Valvatida; Acanthasteridae. The record is from RNAcentral.